GAAUAUUGCGCAAUGGGCGAAAGCCUGACGCAGCAACGCCGCGUGAGGGAUGAAGGCCUUCGGGUCGUAAACCUCUGUCAGGUGGAAAGAAGGUUCUUGCGGUAAAUAGCCGCAGGAGCUUGACGGUACCACCAACGGAAGCCCCGGCUACACCCGUGCCAGCAGCCGAGGUAAUACGGAGGGGGCAAGCGUUAUUCGGAAUCAUUGGGCGUAAAGGGCGCGUAGGCGGCUUAGUAAGUUGAAGGUGAAAUCCCUCGGCUCAACCGAGGAACUGCCUUCAAAACUGCUUGGCUAGAGUCCGGGAGAGGGCAGUGGAAUUCCCAGUGUAGCGGUGAAAUGCGUAGAUAUUGGGAGGAACACCAGUGGCGAAGGCGACUGCCUGGACCGGAACUGACGCUGAGGCGCGAAAGCGUGGGGAGCAAACAGG
This 427-nucleotide ribosomal RNA is filed under the name uncultured bacterium. RNAcentral's name for it is "bacterial SSU rRNA". It matches the Rfam family "Bacterial small subunit ribosomal RNA", at positions 359 to 776 of the family's 1533-position model. The record is from RNAcentral.